Long non-coding RNA from Loxodonta africana (African savanna elephant), 5190 nucleotides. RefSeq lists it as uncharacterized. NCBI's taxonomy places the organism in Eukaryota, Metazoa, Chordata, Mammalia, Proboscidea, Elephantidae. The transcript is spliced from 3 exons. The record is from RefSeq and is a predicted model, not a curated record.
GAGAAAGACCUUCAUCCAGAGCCAACAGAGCGAGAGCCUUCACCUGGAGCUGACACCCUGAAUUUGGACUUCUAGCCUACUUUAGUGUGAGAAAAUAAACUUUUUGUUAAAGCCAUCCACCUGUGGUAUUUCUGUUAUGGCAGCACUAGAUGACUAAGAUGACUAGAUGACUAAGAAUUUGGUACUGAGAGAGUGGGGUGCUGCUCUAGCAAAUACCUAAAAUGUGGAAGUGGUUUUGAAACUGUGAAUGGUUAGAGGAGUGACAGCGGCAGUGGACUAGCACAACAGAGAACCUGCAGCAGCAGAGAAGCAGCAGCCACUGAGAACCAACAGCCUCAGAACCAGGAGACCAGUGAGAGAUGGCGCUGGAUCCGACCCAUGGAGUGAGAGAAAGCUGAGCGCCUGUGUGCAGGAGGCUUCCUGGUGGAGUGGGGUACCUCCAGACACUUAUUGGUGGAGCUAGGCUUGCUGACCCAUGCAGCAAGAAAGCUGAGUGCCUGCGUGCAGGAGGCUUCCUGGUGGAGUGGGUUGCCUCUAGGUACUUUUCCGUGGAGCUAUAGAUCUUUGGAACAGUUGCCCCAGCAGAGCAGAUGCAGUUGUGAGGCCUGAGGAGCCAAGAGACCAAGAAACUGGGAAGCAGAAGCUGAAGAGACAGAGACCACAAGAAGCCAGGCUGCCUCAGUCUCAAAAGUUUCUCCAAUUUGUAAUGGAAAUGUGUGUCUUGUGCCUGUUCUGCCAUUGUACCUUUGGAAGCACUUGUGUUCUAGACUUCACAGAUGAAGAGGAAUUUUUGGAUUUGGGACUUGGAGUUAAGACUUUUGCUAUGAUAUGAUGGGGUGAAUAUGUUUUGCAUGUUGCAAGGAUGUGAUUUUGGGGGGGCCAAAGGGUGGAAUGUCAUGGAUUGAAUUGUGUCACCCAAAAAAUAUGUGUCAACUUGGUUAGGCCAUGUGUGGUUGUCCUCCAUUUUGUGAUUUUUCUAUGUAUUAUAAAUCAUAAUCUCUGCCUGUGGUUAAAAAUGAUUAAGGUGGGAUGUAACACCCUUGUUCAAGCCACAUUUCUGAUUCAAUGUAAAAGGAUUUUCCCUGGGGUAUGGCCUGUACCACCUUUUAUCUCUCAAGAUAUAAAAAGAAAGGGAAGCAAGCAGAGAGUUGGGGACUUCAUACCACCAAGAAAGCAGCAUCGGGAACAGAGUGUGUCCUUUAGACCCAGGGUUCCUGUGAAGGGAAGCUCCUAGUCCAGGGGAAUAUUGAUGAGAAAGAACUUCAUCCAGAGCCAACAGACAGAGAGGCUUCCCCUGGAGCUGACACCCUGAAUUUGGACUUCUAGCCUACUUUACUGUAAGAAAAUAAACUUCUCUUUGUUAAAGCCAUCCACUUGUGUUAUUUCUUUUAUGGCAGUACUAGAUGACUAAGACAGUCCUCUUCAGCCUCCUCAAUCAAGAGUAGAUUCUUAGAAACCAGAAUUUAUAGUCCAGAACAUACACAUGGAAGUGCAAGUCUCCCCAGGGAGUGUGCUGAGUCACAGGAGCUAUAGGUGUGCUGAAGCCUACCAUGGCCUGGGGUGGCAGGUUUCCCCAAAUGGGUUGCCUCCUACCAAGAACAGCCUUUAUCACAGGGGGCCAUACAAACAUUAUUCCUCCUCUGGUGCCAUGAGCUGAGUAAAUUUGAGAAUCCCUACCCCAGAAGGCUCAGAAGAGUCCUCUCCAGGAGGGAGAAAAAGGGCUCUGUGUUCUCAGACAAGGACUAAAGAAUUAGAUAUCUAGUUCUAGUUCUGCCUUCAUUACUAUUCUGGGAGUAUCUCACCUUUCUGGGUCUUCUUUAUUGGUAAAAAUGAGGACAUUGCACAGCAUAAUUUCUACAAUCCUUUUCAGCUCAGGAGUUCUUUGAAUUUUAUGAUUUAUAAUGUCUUUAUAGAGCAGGGAGUCACAUGUCAUUUAUGGCCCUGGUCUCAUAAAUAACCCCCCAUCCUCCUCCCCAUCACCCCUUGUUAAGCUGUACAGGGCUCACUUCCAGGAAAUGGCCUGUUCUCUGGUUUCCAUUGGUGCAGCCGUUGUGGACUUUCUGCCAUGUAGCCUGUUACGGAUUUAAUGGUGUCCUCAAAAAUAUGUGUGUGGGAAUGGAUUUUCUUUGUUAUGUUAAUGAAGCUGUAUUAGUGUAGGGUGUGUCUUAAGUCAAUCUCUUUUGAGAUAUAAAAAGAGAAGGUUGAGCAAGCAAAGGUGUGAGAAAGCAGAGAUGAGGGAAGAUAAAUUCGCACCAGAUGAAGAUAGCCAAGGAACCAAGGACCAAGGACAUUCCCCCAGAGCUUGUCUAGUGCUGGCACCCUAAAUUUGGACUUCCAGCCUCCUAAACUGUGAGAAAAUAAAUUCCUGUUUAUUAAAGCUACCCCCUUGUGGUAUUUCUGUUACAGCAGCACUAGGUGACUAAGACAUGGCCCAUAAACCCCAGUACCUGAGGCAAAUGUGGAGAAAGGGCCAGUCUGCCUGGAGGGAAGAAGCUGAUCUCAGAUACAUUUGAUCCUGCCGAGGACUCGUUAGAUGUGGCUGAAUGUUGUGAAGACUGCAUAGAAGAGAAAGACAAAGCAGGCAAGUGCUUUCCCACCCAGGCUCUGCACCCAGACCUUAGAUGGAAGGAUAGAAGAACCCAGGCGACAGAACUGUACAGGAAGGAAGCCUGGGCCUGGCAUAAUGUGGGACUCCAUGCAGUGUUUGUUAAAGGGUCUCUUGCUUAAGCUCUUGAUGCGCAUCCAACAGCUUACUCAACAUCUUAGAGUGCUAACAGGUACCUCUAACUUAUCAUGUUCAGAGUUCUUUCUUCCUCUCUGCCAUAGCCCUCCUCAACCACUUUCUCUCCAGUGUCUCCAUAUCAGUCAACAGCACUACCACUGAAUAGUGCUGAGAGGGGACUCCUAGGCCUUCUUCGCUCACACUCUACUUCCACUCUGUCAGCAGGGCCUGCCAGCUGUACUUCAAAAUCCACCGGCUUUUCUUCCUUGACAUUGGAGCCAGCCUCGCCAUUACUAGCAUCACCUCUCUCUCCCGUAGCUUUUGCCUGGUUAAUCUCAUGUCUCCCCUCUUGUCACCUAUAAUACAGAGCAGGAACAAAGUCUUGAAAAUAGGUUAUAUAGCUUUCCUGUCUUGGCUUCCCACUGCUCUUGAAGAAGAUCCAGACUUUUUACCACAACCUACAAAACCCCGCUCCCUCUCUGAAUCCGUCUUCUAUCAUUCAUGUCCUGAUCCCAUGUGCUGCAGUCCCACAAGGCUUCUGUCUGUUCCUUGGUCUCGCCAAACUUGGUCCCACCUCAGGAGGUUUGCAUUUGCUCUUUGUCCUGCCUGAAAUACUCUGUCCCCAGAUGGUCGCAUGUUCUCAUAACUCAGGUCUCAGCAGAAACAUUGCCUCCUCAAAGGUUUCUCUGACCACUCAAUGGAUAAGUGUCCCCUCCACCGCCAACCCCUGCUGCCAAAUAUUUCCCAUUUUACUAAUUGCUUCCUAGCAUCCAGUACCAUCCAAAAUUACAAUGAUUGUUUUUAUGUUAUUUAUUUCCUUGUAAUUAAUCUCCCCUAAAAGAAUGAAAGCUUCAUAGGUCUUUCUUGUUCAUCAGUACCCAGAACAGUGCCUGGCACGUAACAGGUGCUUAACAAGUACUUGUUGAACCAAUAAGAUGAGACCAACUAAGUAGGUUCUACUUUCAGAAGGCAACUCCACACUCAACAGAAACUCAUAUCAUUUGGAGACUUCAUUCCCAUGGGUCACUGGGAUUACCACGGCAGGCACAAAUGUUAUACUGGAUAUGCAGUUAUCCUGGGCUACAGCAGAGACCCUGAGCUCUCCUACAUCAGGGACACGUGCUGGUCCCAUCGGUGAAGUUCAGCUUACACAGUGGACCAGUAGGAAGUGAAUGGUCCCGGAAGGUAGACGCUGUGGCUAACCUCCAGGCUCGCCCUUCCUCUUCCCGCCUGCCAAUUGAGCUUGAUCCAUUUCAGUGGAUUUCAGUGGGGGCAGUGAGAGAUGUUUGUGGACAGGGAAAAGGAAAAGGCAAGGUUGAGAGUAGCCCAGUAAUUUUACUUUUUCUUUUUGCUUACCUCUAUUUUCUAAAUACUUUAUAGUCAUUAUGUAUCUCUUCCAUAAUUAUUUUCAAAAAGGAGAAACAUGAUUAUUGUAAAAAUAUCAUUCCAGUACUAUUAAGAGAGAGAGAGAGAAGGCUAGUAAUAAUAAUUUACCUUUAAAAUUGCCUGAAAAUAGACUGCAACCGUAUAUAAAUAAUAUACCAAUCAAGUUUUAUUGGCACACAGCUGUGCUCAUGCUGUGGAUGCCUUCACACUACAAUAUCAGAUUUGAGUGGUUGGGACAAAGACCAUGUGGUCCGCACAGCCUAAAAUAUUUACUAUCUUGUCCUUUACAGAAAAAAAUCUGCUUACUCCUACCAUAGUUCCUUUGCUCUCUGCAUCUUCCGUGACUUCCUCCACAAUGCUAUGGCACUGAACCUACCAAGACUCUGAGUUUCUGCUUUCCACUUGGUGUGUUUGUCUGUCUGCCCUGCAUCUGCAGGCUGUUGGUCAGAAACCGGAUCAUCUGUAUACUUCUACAGUGCUUGGCACAUUGUUGUUAUUUAAGUAAAUCCAUAUUGUAUAAGUAUUUUGGUCCUGCUUGCAAAAGGAACUUUCAGCGGAUGUCACUCUUUUCAACAGGGUCAGAUGUGGCUGAGAGGUAGGGUGUGCUCAUGCUGAGUCAUGUGCAGGGACCCCCACAGGCACUACCUUGUCAGCUCCUCUCUGCCUGUGGCUCUUUGCUUGAAGGCUGCCUCGCAACAGGCCAAAGUUCUUGGCCACACUGGUCAGCUUGAGAUUGCUCAGCCUCAGGGUCCCACAGCUGUGCCGCCGCUUGAUACUGCCGUGUCAAAUAUUCUUCAGAGAGCCAGGUUGGUGACAACAAGGAGCAAUGUAUUCCCACCAGGCUGGACCACUGGGCAAGGGCAGGUUGGGAUCUGGCAAGUCUGUGGUGUGAGUUUUUUUUUUUUUUUAAGAAAUGCCAAUUUGUUCCGUUCACACAGAAAGCAACUGGAUUCAUGCUCGUGAAACAUUCUAACAAGCAUGAUGCUGGGCAUGAAAUGAAGUGUCUAUUUAUUUGUAAUUUGCAGAAAACACUGAUGGCACAAAAAUGGCAGCCUGGUGCAAUAAGUUUAAUUUGUCCCUGU